Molecule: long non-coding RNA, 1071 nt
Organism: Passer domesticus (house sparrow)
Lineage: Eukaryota; Metazoa; Chordata; Aves; Passeriformes; Passeridae
Exons: 3
Source: RefSeq, a predicted model, not a curated record
UUCCAUUCUAGAUUAAUAAUUAAUAUUAAUUUUAAAAAUCCUGUCUCUCCAACUGUACUUUUAUACCUUAUUAUCCUUCCCGUUUUACAUAACUAAAACUUAUUAUAACUGAAUUUAAAUUAAUUAAAACUCAGUAUGUUUCUCUGAGGGAAGACAAGUUGUGUAGUCAAGGAAGUUCAGAAUACUUUGAUUAACAUGUGAACUUUGUUUCAAGUCAGGAGGUGUUCUUCAGAUAUUGAUUCAGGUUAUUUUAUUAACUUACAGAUGAGACCACUGUCCAGGAGUCUGGAAUUAGUACAUUGAAACACCAGCCAGGAACCCACACAAUUUGAAGACAUCCCAGAAAAAGAAUGGACGUGGAAUCUCACAUGGAAUUCAGCAUAAGGAUGGGCUGUUAUAUGGCACAGAAUACCUGAGUCAGUGCAUGGGAAGAGAAUGUAGGCUUGGAGGUGUUCAAAAGACAUGUACAUGUGGCACUUGAGGACAUGGUUUAGUGAUGCCUUGGCAGUAUAAGGCUAUUGACUGGACUCCAUGAUCUUAAAGGUGAGAACACCAACAGCUUCCCACUUUCUGUCUGCUCAUUAACACUGGUAUCUCCAAGAGACUUACAACAGCAGAGGAUAAAAUAAUACAAAAAAAGAGAGGCACAAAUUUUAGCAUUAGUAUUGCUGGUGUAUGUUCAGGUCUUCAACUCAUUUGCUAAUUUUCAAAAGAAGUCAAACAACACUUAGUUUUCUGAGUCCUCCAUUACUGUAAUUAAUGAAGAUUAAAGUGAAACCAUUUUUACUGGAACAUAAACUAUUCUUCCAAGCAGGUAAGUUUAGCUUCCUUACGGCCCCAGAUGAUGCCAAACCAGUACCUCAGUGUUUCACUUAAUAUUAUGAAAAGGGAGAGAAUAUUUACAAUCCAUUUAAACAAUAGUCUGGGAUGAUGGUUUUUUCAUUUUUCUUUUCAUUUUUUAGAGUUAUGUAACCCAUUAUCAGAAUGAUAACUUUCUGAAACACCUUUGGUGGGGACAGAAAAUGGAAAGGAAAAAAGGGUAUUAUUUGUUGGUGGUGUUUUUUGUUGCUU